RNAcentral lists this ribosomal RNA (327 nucleotides) under uncultured eukaryote. Its description in RNAcentral is "partial 18S ribosomal RNA". It matches the Rfam family "Eukaryotic small subunit ribosomal RNA", at positions 1470 to 1796 of the family's 1831-position model. The record is from RNAcentral.
CCCUUAGAUGUUCUGGGCCGCACGCGCGCUACACUGACGAAUGCAACGAGCUUAUAACCUUGGCCGAAAGGUCUGGGUAAUCUCCAAAUUUCGUCGUGAUGGGGAUAGAUUAUUGCAAUUAUUAAUCUUCAACGAGGAAUGCCUAGUAAGCGCAAGUCAUCAGCUUGCGUUGAUUACGUCCCUGCCCUUUGUACACACCGCCCGUCGCUCCUACCGAUUGAAUGGUCCGGUGAAGCGUUCGGACUGUGGCCUUUGGACGGUUCGCCGUCUGUUGGCUGCGGGAAGUUCGUUAAACCUUAUCAUUUAGAGGAAGGAGAANUCGUAACA